RNAcentral lists this transfer RNA (67 nucleotides) under Lithax obscurus. Its description in RNAcentral is "tRNA-Ile". Lineage: Eukaryota; Metazoa; Arthropoda; Insecta; Trichoptera; Goeridae. The record is from RNAcentral.
AAUAAUGUGCCUGAUUAAAGGAUUAUUUUGAUAGAAUAAAUAAUGUAAAAUAGAAUUACCUUUAUUA